This is a long non-coding RNA of Equus caballus (horse), 1369 nucleotides long. The record is from Ensembl. Lineage: Eukaryota; Metazoa; Chordata; Mammalia; Perissodactyla; Equidae.
GUGAUGUGACAGCACAGUGGAACUCUGGUGUACGACUGGCUCACAACAACAUCCUUUCAUGUGCAUCAAUAUCACUGACUCAUCUCCCACCAUUAUCUUCUUACUAACAGGUGGACAAAGGAGUACAGUCCCAAGGAAAGGGGGAGGAUGGCACCUGGGUGGGAUGAAAACAGGUGUCCUUGUGGAUGUAACUGGAGAAGUAGAAUACCUAAGGAAGAGUUGGGGUGGAGAAAAGAGAAAUGCCAACCUAGGACACUGCCAUAGAUGACCAGAUAGAGGCCCCUCACAGAUGCUCAAACCAUGCUCUGGAACCGCAGUCAAAAGUCUACAGUAAAUGAUUCUCCCUCUGCUGUGUCCUGUAAGCUGCAGAUUCUUCACUCCUGUGUAUUAACUAGGCUAUCAGCAACGCUCCAUCUUCCCCAGCCCCACCCCAGUGCCACAGCACCUGCAAGAAAACCGUAACAUAAUCUUGCUUAAGGAGAAUAAAUAAAAAGCUCUCCAUCUAUAAACCACUUGGAAAGCUGGCAGGGCAGAGCAUACUCAAAUCAAAAAUGAAAAUUUACAUACUCUCUCAGAGGUGGCAGGGAUCUAUUACAGCCCGCCAGUGUCCUACGCUGUCAGAUAUAACUUUUUCUCAGUACCACAUAGCCACUACGUGAUUCAGGAGCUCAAACCAGUGCCCAGGCCACUGUUGCUCUUCAGCGUUGUGAGGACAGCCUUCCCAGGCCCAGCUGAUGGAGUUACAGGAACCUGGAGUUGAGGCAUGCUUCAUUCACCGGGAGGGAGUCAGUGGGGUCCACCCAUGAUGGUGGUGAAGUGGGCGGCCAAGGAGGAGAAUAGCGAGCUCAGCAAUAAAGAGGGCCCAGUUAUUUUUAAGAAAAAUACUUAUGUAGAUGCCUGAAAAUGUUUUCAAAAGAAGGGACCUAAAAGUAUUGUGUGAUUCUUUUUUCUCUCACAUCCCUGUCUUGGCAAGAUGUACACUCAGAAGAAACAGGUUUAUGAAAGUAGACACUCAGCCCCAGUGAAAGCCGAAUGCUGGGGCUGCUAAAGCCAGCGUUCCGAGCCUGCGUGUUACCCCACUGCUUUUUUCCAAGAGUCAGGACCACCCAGAUGUUGUGGGUUCUGUUUGACAGGACUUGAUAAUCUCUUGAGGUGCUUUGCUGAAAAGAUUUUGUCCUCCUGCCUGUGUCUUUUUUCUUCUCCCCCUUCAAGCUGAGGCGGGCUCUGGAUCUCUGCUUCAGGGGACGGAUGUGUCCUGGGCAGAGAGAGCUGAGCCUCAGAGGUUUCCUGGCUUUUCUGCCCACAACCCUGAGCCCCUGGGGGAUUUCUCAAGGCUGGUGAAGGAGGUAAAGGGAGAGAAAUUCUGUGG